AGUGAACGCUGGCGGUAGGCCUAACACAUGCAAGUCGAACGGCAGCACAGUAAGAGCUUGCUCUUACGGGUGGCGAGUGGCGGACGGGUGAGGAAUACAUCGGAAUCUACUUUUUCGUGGGGGAUAACGUAGGGAAACUUACGCUAAUACCGCAUACGACCUACGGGUGAAAGCAGGGGAUCUUCGGACCUUGCACGAUUGAAUGAGCCGAUGUCGGAUUAGCUAGUUGGCGGGGUAAAGGGCCACCAAGGCGACGAUCCGUAGCUGGUCUGAGAGGAUGAUCAGCCACACUGGAACUGAGACACGGUCCAGACUCCUACGGGAGGCAGCAGUGGGGAAUAUUGGACAAUGGGCGCAAGCCUGAUCCAGCCAUACCGCGUGGGUGAAGAAGGCCUUCGGGUUGUAAAGCCCUUUUGUUGGGAAAGAAAAGCAGCAGGUUAAUACCCCGCUGUUCUGACGGUACCCAAAGAAUAAGCACCGGCUAACUUCGUG
RNAcentral lists this ribosomal RNA (492 nucleotides) under uncultured bacterium. Its description in RNAcentral is "partial 16S ribosomal RNA". It matches the Rfam family "Bacterial small subunit ribosomal RNA", at positions 29 to 507 of the family's 1533-position model. The record is from RNAcentral.